RNAcentral lists this unclassified non-coding RNA (351 nucleotides) under soil metagenome. RNAcentral describes it as "partial contains 5.8S ribosomal RNA, internal transcribed spacer 2, and large subunit ribosomal RNA". The stretch from base 1 to 120 matches the Rfam family "5.8S ribosomal RNA", at positions 35 to 154 of the family's 154-position model. The record is from RNAcentral.
GAUGAAGAACGCAGCGAAAUGCGAUAAGUAAUGUGAAUUGCAGAAUUCAGUGAAUCAUCGAAUCUUUGAACGCACAUUGCGCCCGCCAGUAUUCUGGCGGGCAUGCCUGUUCGAGCGUCAUUACAACCCUCAGGCCCCCGGGCCUGGCGUUGGGGAUCGGCGGAAGCCCCCUGCGGGCACAACGCCGUCCCCCAAAUACAGUGGCGGUCCCGCCGCAGCUUCCAUUGCGUAGUAGCUAACACCUCGCAACUGGAGAGCGGCGCGGCCACGCCGUAAAACACCCAACUUCUGAAUGUUGACCUCGAAUCAGGUAGGAAUACCCGCUGAACUUAAGCAUAUCAAUAAGCGGGA